UGGCGGCACUAGCGCGGUGGUCCCACCUGACCCCAUGCCGAACUCAGAAGUGAAACGCCGUAGCGCCGAUGGUAGUGUGGGGUCUCCCCAUGUGAGAGUAGGGAACUGC
RNAcentral lists this ribosomal RNA (109 nucleotides) under Klebsiella pneumoniae. The record is from RNAcentral. Lineage: Bacteria; Pseudomonadati; Pseudomonadota; Gammaproteobacteria; Enterobacterales; Enterobacteriaceae.